RNAcentral lists this ribosomal RNA (154 nucleotides) under Kaiparowitsia implicata GSE-PSE-MK54-09C. RNAcentral's name for it is "partial 23S ribosomal RNA". It matches the Rfam family "Bacterial large subunit ribosomal RNA", at positions 2770 to 2925 of the family's 2925-position model. The record is from RNAcentral. Lineage: Bacteria; Bacillati; Cyanobacteriota; Cyanophyceae; Oculatellales; Oculatellaceae.
GCUGAAAGCAUCUAAGUGGGAAGCCCACCUCAAGAUGAGUGCUCCCAUGGCAUAAGCCAGUAAGGUCACGGGAAGAACACCCGUUAAUAGGCUGUAGAUGGAAGCAUGGCAACAUGUGAAGUCGAGCAGUACUAACAGACCGAGGGCUUGACCU